Non-coding RNA from Mesorhizobium amorphae CCNWGS0123, 116 nucleotides. The record is from Rfam. Lineage: Bacteria; Pseudomonadati; Pseudomonadota; Alphaproteobacteria; Hyphomicrobiales; Phyllobacteriaceae.
AAUACCCGGCGAGUGGAACCUCCUCCCUCUGCUCCCCGGGGUGACCAGCCAGCACCUCCUCCCGCUGGCUCGUAACAGGAAAAGGCCGGCACCUCCUCCCGCCGGCCUUUUCUUUU